UACGGAGGGGGCCAGCGUUGUUCGGAAUCAUUGGGCGUAAAGGGCGCGUAGGCGGCUUUGUAAGUCCGUUGUGAAAUCCCUCGGCUCAACCGAGGAACUGCGACGGAUACUGCUCGGCUUGAGUCCCGGAGAGGGUAGCGGAAUUCCCAGUGUAGCGGUGAAAUGCGUAGAUAUGUGGAGGAACACCGAUGGCGAAGGCAGCCCCCUGGGUUAACACUGACGCUCAUGCACGAAAGCGUGGGGAGCAAACAGG
This 253-nucleotide ribosomal RNA is filed under the name uncultured bacterium. Its description in RNAcentral is "partial 16S ribosomal RNA". It matches the Rfam family "Bacterial small subunit ribosomal RNA", at positions 524 to 776 of the family's 1533-position model. The record is from RNAcentral.